CAGGCCUCUGUCCGGAGGCGCCCUCCGCUGGGAAUCUCACCCUUCCUCUCCCUCUUCGUCGUCCUUGGAGGCCCGAACCCACACCUUCAGGGCUCCUCCCACCGCCCGGCCCGGGCCACCAGGCCGUUAACCUCUGGGGGAAUCCGAGCAGCUCUGCACCUCCUCCCGCCCGGGCCGGGGCGUGACUGGUGCUGCGCGCGUGCGCAGAGCCCUGAGCGGGGCCCAGGGAGGGGCCGGUUGCGCCCCCUCUCCCCAGAGAGGGGACAGAUAGGGCGGCGGGAGAGGGGUUAAGAUAAGGACUUCAAGAGCGAGUUUCUCCUCCCCACGUUGGGACGCUGGCCCUGGGUUCCCGACCCUCUGCGGGCGCGCAUCUCGGGCCGUCGCAGGCGGGAGGGUGGGAUGGGGCCUCGGGCGGCGCGCGCCGCGGUUCCCACCGGCUACAUGCACAUCCCUGCCCCACGAGAGCCCCGGUGACCCACGCUGGUAAAACUCAAACAGGGCAGAAGCAUUAAAAUAACCACCCUCGUCCCACAGCCUUGCCUCGCGAAGGAAUCCCGGCCUCCGGUUCGGGAGCAUCCUCCCAGGCCUCCUCCAGAACAUUCGCUCACACACGGAUACUCAGGCUCGCAGACGUAUACGGACGCACACGCAUAUGUACGCCGACACACGUGCACCCAGACUCACAGGAACACGCGGACACGUGGGAACACUGAUUACGUAAAGAGCAUUCCCCCUCCUCAGCUUCCUCUGUCUGUGGACCAGCUCCGCGCACCAGCUCUGAAGGUGUUUCCAUUUGGUGAAGGCACUUGGUGGCCUUGCACGCUGCACGAGUUCUGAGCUUCAGAAUGUGUCACUGCAGGCUGUUGGGUUCAGGAGCCAGUCUCACACAGGUGAAUCCCGACAGGACCCACAGACAGAUGAGGACGGAGACAGGAGGAGACUGAGUCUGCAGUGUGCCAACCCUGGGCUGCCCCUGUGCUUGGCUGCCACACUGUCUCACCUGGGUCUGGGCUGAGGACCUGGCCCUGGAGACCAAGGACAUUCCAGAGCUUUGGUUUGGAAUCCUCAGUUCCGUGGACGUGGAUGUCCUCGUGGAGUGUGCACGAGCCAGACAGGCCUGGGCUGGAGCUCGUGCCUCUGCUCUCUGCGAGUCUGUUUCCCCAUGGUCAGAUGGGAGAGUGAGGGCUCCCAGCUUGCAGAAGGGCAGGAACUGGUGCUGUUGACCCGGGGUGGCACUGGCAUGAUCUGGAGAAGAACCUGGCUUCUGGUUUGGGGUUGGCCCCCACCCGUGAGGCUGGCACCUGUUUUGUCUGUGGACAGGUUAUGCUGUGAGAUUGUCUUUGCCAGUAAUUUAUUUAACACAAGUUCACUGGGAUUAUAACAAUUUCACAAGCCAGUAGCAUACAGGAUAAUGUCUCUUAAUAAGGCAAUAAAGAAAUAAAAAGGGGCUGGCCCUGCGGCCUAGUGGUUAAGUUUGGCACGCUCCACUUCGGCAGUCUGGGUUUGGUUCCUGGGCACAGACCUACACCACUUGUCAGCAGCCACACUGUGGCAGCAGCUCGCUCACAAAAUAGAGGAAGAUUGGCACAGAUGUUACCUUAGGGCAAAUCUUCCUCAGCAAAAAAAGAAAAAGAAAGAAAUUGUAUACUCCAAACCAAUGAUCGACUAAUUACACUCUUGUUCCAGGCAAAGGGGAGAGGAAAGAAAUAAAGUCCAAAUUUACUUGAGGUGUCCCUUUCUCUGAGCUGAUUCUUGGACAAGUCGACUUAGAGCUGACAUCCAGCUGCCAUUGCAAAGUUCCAGCUGUUCCCUGGCCACAGUCGCUCUGCCACGGUUCUUGUGGAGAAGACCCCAGCAGCGCCUGUCACCUGCGCUCCUGCGUGCUUACAGACAACAAAUGACGAAUGUCAACGACGGCUUCCUGGCACGGCUUCCUCAGCGUGGACAACCUCAGAUGGGGCAGCUCCACUCUUGUCCUACAUAAGUGGGCUUGAAGUCGCGUCAAACCGAGACACAGCAGCCCCGCGUCCCAUGCUGCAGACAUCCACACCCGACUGGGGUGGUUUGUGUGCCGCAUGCGGUUGGAAUUCCUCCCCAGAAACAGGGCAGACUUCUCCAACCGGUUUUUAUUUUGUCCUUAAGCCACAUAUUUGAAAAUUGCUUAAUCAAAGAGGGUCAUGAACUAAAUCUCAGGCCUGGCUCUGGGGCCCCAGGAGGGGAGUUCGUGAACGUGGGCAUCACUGGGCAGCUGAUGGCUCCCUCCGGGUCCCUGUGCACGCCCUGUCUCGGUGGACUGGGUCUCCCACCUGGCCACGGCCAUUGAUUGAGGGCCUACUAUGUGCCAGGCAAGGUCUUGGGUGUUUCCCACAAACGCUCUUGCGCACAACCACCCUGGGAAGGAGGGUGGCUACCCCCACUUUGCAAGUGAGGAAGCUAAAGCUCAGAGAUGAAGUGGCUUGCCCUAGUUCACCCAGCGGGUGAGAGGCAGAGCUGGGAUGUCAGAUGCCAGAUCCCACAUCCUCUGUCUGUGUCCAGAGGCUGUCUGCCCCUCGGGCAGGACGGGAAGACCAAGACCACAGACAUAGUGACCUGUGUCACUGGGAGAGAGCGGAAGAGAGAUGAGCCUCUGGCUCAGGCAGACAAAUCAGGGAAGCUUCUGGGAGGUGGCCCUCGGCCUUGGCAUGAGGGAUCUAGAGAGAGAUGGGAAGGCAUGCAGGAUAAGAGAUUUGUGAAUACAGGGAGGCAGUGGGAGCGAUUGUGGGAUGUGGCUGGAGGAGCGCACUCAGGCAGAUGGGCCAGUGCUGGCCUGGUCUGGGCUCACUGGGACAGACCGGGUGCAGACUGUCCUGGGAGAGAGGCCAGCGUGGGCUGGGCGUGAGGGCCUGCGCCACCAUCUUCCUGCGCACAGCGUCACCGGUGAGAAGUCUGUGGCCAGGCUGACUUGUUCUUUUGGAGGUAAUUUAUUUCCUGUCUCUUCUUGGAGGCUUUCGGGAUUUUUCUCUUUGUUUGGGUGCUCAGAAAUUUCUCUACGGUGUUCCUAGAGGGUGAUGUCUGGCUUUUUUGUUGUUAUUGUUUCAUUUUGUGUUCACUUUUUAAUUAAAGUGUGACGCAUAUAAAACAUACACAUCUUAAGCAUACGGCUCGAGGAGCUUUUACGUUUGUCUCCACUCACGUAACCACCACCUCAGUGCAGAUGCAGACCACUGCUUCCAGGCCCCCUUCCAUCCCCGGAGGAAACGAUUAGUUUUGCCUGUUUUUGGACUGCCUGUGAAUGGGAACAUACAGUUGGGUACUUUUUCAUACUUUUUAAAAAUAAUCUUUUAGAAUUUGAGAACAGCUUUAGAUUUACACAGUUACUGGGAAGAUAAUACGGAGAGUUCUUGCAUACUGAGUGCCCGUUUCCCCUUUUAUUAACAUCUUAGUGCGGUAGAUCUGUGAAAAGUGAUAAACACUGAGACACUGUUACUAACUAGACUCCAUUCUUUAUUUGGAUUUCCUCAGUUUUCCCCUGAUGUCCUUUUUCUGUCCCAAGAUCCCGUCCAGGCCUCCACAGGAUGUUCAGUCGUCAUAGCUUCUCAGGCUCCUGUGGGCUGUGACAGUUGCUCUGACUUGCCUUGUUUGUGAUGAUCUUGGCGGUUUUUCAGAGGACUGGCUGGGUAUUUUGUAUAAUAUUUCUCAACUGGGAUUUGUCUGAUGUUUUUCUCCUGAUUAGUCGAGUUACGGGUUUUGGGGAGGACUGCCACAGAGGCCGUUCUUAGAACAUUGUACUGUGGGGGACUGGCAUUGGCCACCCCAAGAUAUGUCUCUUUGGCACAAGGAUUAUUUGGGGCUGGUUACUUUUAAUAAACUGCAGACAGGAAGGAGGCUCUGAGGAGUGGAACUUGCUUGCCCUUUGUUAGGAGACAUUUACAUUGUAAAGGAAAUCUCCAUCUGUAAAGAUGUCUCCCUCUCUGUACCAGGAAGAAGGGGGGAUGACCUUAUCUUUAGAAACUCUUAAUCAGUGCCAAAGGCAAGGACUUAAAUCUGUGUUUGUUUAUUGUACUUGUCUGGUAACCUCCUGUAACUGACUCCCCCCACCCACAACAUCCUCCUUUGUCUUUAGCUGGAUAUGAUAUUUAAGAUGGGGGCUUCAGCCAUUUUGGC
Long non-coding RNA from Equus asinus (donkey), 4143 nucleotides. Lineage: Eukaryota; Metazoa; Chordata; Mammalia; Perissodactyla; Equidae. The record is from Ensembl.